UAUAAAAUUUUAAUUGGGAAAAAAAACAGACACAUUAAACCCUAAACCGUAGAGCAAGAGAGCAUAAAUAGCAUCCAUUUUGAUGCCGCCGGUUAUACACGGGCUCGUGAAUUAAGAGCUUCGGAUUCAAUAUGCUUGAGGAAUUUCCUCCUUUUAAUCUAUCGAUUUUGCUUGUCUUCACUUUCUCCUUUUCAAAAUGGGUAAAUAUUCUUUCACAUUGUUUGAAUCUAUGUUUCUGAAGCUAAUAUUUUAUUCUUCUUCUUCUUAGUUCUCUGGGUUUUUUAUAUUAUGUCGAUUAACAUGGAAAUGAUGGGUAAAAAGUAAAAGGUCUGAGCAGGGAGAUUAAUGGUAGUGGUAAUGGAUGUGAAAGUGAGUCUCGAAAGGGAGAGGACCCCUGUCCUUGCUCGAGCUAUUGCAUUGUGACUGUCGCAACCUCUCCUACAGCAAAUGUGCCAUAGCAUGAGCAUUGGCGAUGGGUUGAAAUAAAAGGCGUGGGUUGCUUUCUACUAUUGAAUGCUAACCUAGACUUCUCCCAACAUUUAUUUUGAGCAUUCAUUUGCUGCCACCAUACUUCCUGCAUUGAUCAAACCUUGUAUGCUGAUCCAUGAUCCACCCAGAAUCACUCUAUCUUUCUCUAUUUAUGCAUGCGUGUAUGUGUUUUUGCCAAAUACAUAAAUAUGUUGCUCUCUGUUUCUCUAUUAGAAUAUACUUCCAAAUGCAAAUUAAUUGAUUACGGUUGCUAGAAAAUUGCUGAAACAAAUUCAUUUGCUAAAUAAUGGAGGAAAAAUCCCCACAAUCUGCUUCAAGUUGGAACUCGAAGUGAGUUCAUAUAACUAAGAUGCUUCUUGGAAUUCAUGCUAGUGCUAGCUAGCUAGAUGCUUCCUUCAAGGGCACGUAAAUUGAAGCAUUGUAAAUAAACUUACCUUUUUAUCAGUUCUUAGGCUUAUGUGUAUCUUGUCCUUUUCAGCAAAUAGCUUCUGUUUUCUUGUCUAAAUUCUUAUCCUUAAUUAUCCUAGUAGAAUUCAACAGAUAAAAACUAGUACAUAUUUAAAGCACAAACUGUUUGUUGAUGGAUUCUUGCCGUAGACACAUCACACAUUUUGUUACAAUUUAAACUAAAACAGAAAAGUGCAAAAACAGGGUGUUCCUGGAAUGCCAUCACUAUGGGAUAAGGGUUGACAUAGGAAAGGGUAAGAGGCCAUGAGGUUAUGGUGCAGGUGGAGGAUGCAGCCAAUGGUGGAGUGGUGGAGACCUGUGUAGGCUGUUUGGCUUGUGAUAUAGUACGAGCUUUGUAAAUACAAAGGCUGUUUUAAUAUGUCAGAUUUGUGUGGCUUAAACUUGGUGAUUAUUUUGCUUUUGGUGAUGCAUUUUUUUGGUGCAGUUUUCUUUUGGAUCUAAUAAGAUUGAGCACUAAGGGAAUGAGAUGCAAAUGAUGCCCGACUUAUGCAGCUUGUGUUUUGUUGGCAUUCUUCUAUUGGCUAUACAAUGCUGAAAGCACAUAGCUUUAUGAAAAAGCUUGGAUCAGAAUGAUAGAAGAAUUCUGAUUGGAGCUCAAUAGCUGACCUUCAAUAAUCCAGGCAAAAAGAAUGGUCUAGUGGUCCUAGUUUCUUUUGCCCUUGGUGACUUAGGGAUGUUGCAUUUAUUUAUUUAUGCUGCUCUGAAAUGUGCCUACCAGCUUGGCAUAAAAACAAAUAGCAAAAUUAGGUUAGUGCUAAUAUUUAGGAUAACUUUUUAGGUGUUCUUCUAUGUUUGUGUUAUAGCCUACGAAAGACUAAUCCUUUCAAGUUUCAUAGGUACUUCACUUCUCCCAACAAUACCCUUGAGUUCUCUCUUUGAAAAUGUAGUUGAGAUUAUCAUUGCAUCCAACAUGUAGAUGAAUAUCUUUCAAAGUUUAAUAGAGUGAAUUAAAAAGUUGGGAUUUGCUAAGACAUAAACAUCCAUGACUAAAUUAUUUGGGCGUCCACCUACAUUUAAGAUUUUAUCAUAUAACCCCAUAGAGACAUAAUGGCAAAAGUCUCUGACCGCAGCUCUCUCUAAUUAAAAUAUAUGGGUAACAUUGCAACAUCAACAGAAAUAGAAAGGGUGGGGUUCAUUUUCUUCUGUACAAUGAUAUCUCUAAUUUGGUUGGGGUGAGUAGAACAAGGAAAUAGAACUUCUCAGAGGGUAUUGUAUAUGAGAUAUAUUUAUGUUAUACUUAGCAGGAAAUAAAGUAUUUUAAAUGAAACUAGGCUUUUUACUAAGAUCUCUGCUUGGAGGGCUUUUUGUAGCUUGGAAUUGUGGGGAUGAGGUGAGAAGAGUUAUUUAUUUUAUGAUUCAGCUAUUCUGUCUGUCAAAUUAUGCCUCCCUUUUGAUUUUUCUCUCCAUGCCUUUUAGAAAAACAAUUUGUCAGCCUGGCGCACUUCAGUUACAAGAAAGGAUUAACGUUCUUCAAUUGUUGUCCAAAACGGAAUUUGAGGAGACAAUGAACGAGAUCAUUUGAUUUGAAGCAACUUGAUAAUGAAAGCUUUCAUAGAGACACUUGAAAAAGUAGUCAGACAAGAAUCAGUGUGGUUGUUGCCAAUCAGGAUCAUGAAAUGCCACUCCCAUAUUUGAGCAUUCAGAAUUUUCUGGUUGGCUUGACGCUUUUGGACAAUUGGGUUGGCCUUCAGACAAAAGUUAAAGUGAUUUGACGGACUGUUUCAUAACUUUUGACACUAUUGGAGUCAAUAAUAUGGUAAGAUUAAUGGCUAAUCUGCACCUGGAUUACACUCGUAGAGAAGCUUUAAUCAUAGAUGAGAAGGUUGACAAUUGCAUAAAAAGAACUUUUAAUUUAAUCUCAAAAGGGUGUCCCUUUUGUAAAUAUAAAAAUUAAGCUAUUUUAACACGAUUUGAUGCCGCCCCACUUGUUUUCUAAUUUGCAUACAAGUGAUUGAGAUUGUCCCAUAAUCAUGUUUUGAGUGGCCACUAGUUGACCCCUUGUUACUUUCUCUAUGACCUUUUUUUUUUUU
Long non-coding RNA from Manihot esculenta (cassava), 2987 nucleotides. RefSeq lists it as uncharacterized. The transcript has 2 exons. Lineage: Eukaryota; Viridiplantae; Streptophyta; Magnoliopsida; Malpighiales; Euphorbiaceae. The record is from RefSeq and is a predicted model, not a curated record.